UACGUAGGGUGCAAGCGUUGUCCGGAAUUAUUGGGCGUAAAGCGUGCGCAGGCGGUUAUUUAAGUCAGGUGUGAAAGCCCUGGGCUUAACCUAGGAAUUGCGCUUGAGACUGGAUAGCUUGGAGUGCGGCAGAGGGAGGUGGAAUUCCACGUGUAGCAGUGAAAUGCGUAGAGAUGUGGAGGAACACCGAUGGCGAAGGCAGCCUCCUGGGCCAGCACUGACGCUCAUGCACGAAAGCGUGGGGAGCAAACAGG
RNAcentral lists this ribosomal RNA (254 nucleotides) under uncultured bacterium. Its description in RNAcentral is "partial 16S ribosomal RNA". It matches the Rfam family "Bacterial small subunit ribosomal RNA", at positions 524 to 776 of the family's 1533-position model. The record is from RNAcentral.